UUUUUUGGGGCCACACCUGUGGCAUAUGGAAGUUCCCAGGCUAGGGGUCCAAUUGGAGCUGCAGCUGCUGGCCUACACCACAGCCACAGCCAUGCGGGAUCCGAGCCUCAUCUGAGACCGACACCACAGCUCACGGCAACGCUGGACCCUUAACCCACUGAGCAAGGCCAGGAAUCGAACCUGCAUCCUCAUUGAUGCCAGUUGGGAUGGUUAACCGCUGAGCCACAACAGGAACUCCAGGAUGAAACUUAAUUCUUAGCUCACACAAUCAGAUGCCUUUUUUUUUAUUUUUUGGCCACACCCAUGACAUGCUGAAGUUCCCCAGCCAGGGAUGGAACCUGCACCACAGCAGCAACCCAAGCUGCCACAAUAACACAGCAUCCUUAACCAGCUGUGCCACGCAAGAGAAUUCUACAAUCAGAUGUCUUUUUAAGUCCACUCCUUGUGUGUAGAGGUGUUGAGAAUAUUACCUGAAUGGCCACAGGUAACAUGUGCACAGAGGAAAGACCAGGUGAGGACACAGGGAGAGGGCUGGCAUAGGCAAGCCAAGGAGAGAGGCUUCAGAAGGAACCAACCUGCAGGCACCAUGAUCCCCCGCUGCCAAGGCUGUGAAAGUAAAUUCCCCUCGUUUAAGCCACCCCCUCACCCUGCCUCCAUCUGCAGGACUUUGCUGUGGCAGCCCUCACAAACUAAAUGCAGAGCCACUGUCAUCUCCCCCUACAAAUGUCCAGCCUGAGAUUAUGAUCAAACAGCUAGUGAGCUGCCGAGAACCCAGACUCCUUCCUGUUACUCACUGCUGCUCAUUCUUUCCUCCAACAAAAAUGCGUGGAGGGCCAGGGAACAGCAGACACCCAGACACACACAGACAGUCGCUGGCACCCUGGACCUCACGUCCCUCUGGGAGAAGAACACACCAUAGCUCUGGUUGCGGGUGGAAGCCACAGCCAAGAGGGUGCCAACAAGCAGCAGAGGUCUUGCUGGGCAGAGGGUGCGGCAGAGCAGCCUCGCAGGGGUGAGGCACGUCCUGAACCUGUGAGAGGGUCACAAGUUGUUCUCUGCUUUGGACCACAGUGCGUGAAGGCGGGGGAGGCAGGAACUGGAGUUGUUUCGACGUCCUCAACGGAUCACAUCAGGGUGGUGGUAAGGGGGACACUUUCAUGGAGUUGAACUCUCGUGAUGUAGAACUACUUUAGGGUAUUUUCAGAUUUUUAAACACACUUGGCUGUGUCACAGUGUAAUUCCCAUACAUGUGAGUAUGCAAUCUCAGUGUAAUAAAUAGAGCAAGGAUGCAAUGUCCAUGCACAUCCUCAGAUAUAAUCUAUACCUGAAGAAACGCCAUGACUGUGGUCCCACGUACAUAAAUGUUAAUUUGGCAGUCUGUACAAAGAUUGCUGGCUGUAUUUGUUUUCACCUGCACCAUCUUUGUCCUGGGUAACUGAAAUAACUUCUUAACUGGUCUUUCUUCCGACCCGAAAAACAGAGGGAACGUUUUGGAGCAAAUUAUGGUCAAACAGCCAGUAAGCGAUCAGGACAUGUCUUUUCUGGAAGUCCUGGGACAGAGACUAAAAUCCACACAUAUGUGACCUUGAAUCUUAGAAUAUUCAACAGCCAGCUGUUGGGGCCACCUCUCCACUAAUGACCUUCCAAGAUUCAGGGUCACAUAAAUGUAGGUUUUAGACCUACAUCUUCCUCCUGCCCUUUGGCCUCACUUUGUACAACUCUCCCCUGCCUGCCUCUUCUUCUUUGAAAUGCCAGUCUGCUGAUGCCAUCAGGACCAUUGCCAGAAUGUUCUAUCUCAGCUUUCACCAUAAUCCAAUCCAAACGUCACCUCCUCAGUGAAGCCUUCCCUGAUUACGCCACCCAAAGCAGUUCCCUGCCCAGGGCCAGCGUCCUGUGUGUGGGACCAGCGUGGGUACGGGAGCCCCAGGCUCGGAAGGGCCCUGUGCUCAGCUUAGGGUUCGAUGCGGCCGUCUUGAAAUCCAUGAGAGCUUUUGAACAAGGGCCUACAUUGUUCUUUUUUGACAGCAGGUCCUGAAAACUCUGUUGCCAGUUCCUCCUGUGCUCCAGGUUGCAUCAUCCCAUUCAGUUUUCUCUGUUGGCACUUCCAUUAUUCAAAGUGAUCCCUUUGUUAAUCUGUUUACUGACCUUUCCCUUCUCCAAGACGUGAGCUCCAGCAGAGCAGUAACUUUGCCAGCCUGGCUCAGUCCCGUGUCUCCAGCCCCUGGCACAGGGCCAGACAGAGGUUGAGUCUCAGUAAGCACAGAGUGAAUUAAUGACUCAGGCAGAGCACUAAAAAUACAGCCGGGAGUCCGAAAAACAUGGAAAGAAGUCAAUGCUAGCUGGGCUUUGUGCCACGGCUUCAGACUCAUUUCCCCACUGAUGUGCGAUCCUGACUGAUGACUUGUGCGCAUGACCCCUGAGAGUCAACCCCUCACCACAGGUGAAGAUCCAGAAUAAGACGUAAACACUGAGGGCUAGCCUGCCCCACCAGGGGUCUCAUCCAAGCACUGCUUCCAGCCACCCCCGCUCCCGGCAUUGUGGAAUCCCAGUGGUGUCCAAAGGGGUCCUUCCUCCUGCCUUUGUGGGCCUCCAGGAAGUGACCUCAGCCCUGCUCCAGCCCUGGACCAGGCUGGCCUGGCCGCGGCAGCCUUCCUAGGUGGAAUGUUGGGACAAAGGGAAGUUCUACCGGGGCCUCCUGAGAACGUCCCUCCUAGAUGUUCAGAAGGGCUCCUGCAAGGUACUCUCCGCCUCUGCACACUGUCUGCCCUAAAACGGGCCUCAGAACCAUUAAAUCCUAGCUCCCCACCAGCCCAGGGGUAAAAGCAUCAGUGGAAGAGAGGCCAGUGGAGGAAAGGCAGGGCCAGGAGCUGCCUGCUGUUGGAGACACUGAGCAAACUUGAAACCUGCCAAGUGCAGAGGACUAGUUUCCCGCUUAAGCUGGUUUGUUCCAGUUCUCUGUUAUUUGGAGGCUGCAGCGUCUGAACUGCUUUGUAAUUAUCGCUUUUCUACAGAAAGAGAACAUCAGUGAAAUAGGUCUUCAUUUGCAUUUGCCAUAUACCCUCUCCUAUGUUCAAGAAUAUGCAGUAUUUGGAGUUCCUGCUGUGGUUCAGCGGUACAUGCCCGACGAGUAUCCAUGAGGAUGCAGGUUCCAUCUCUGGCCUCACUCAGUGGGUUAAGGAUCCGGCAUUGUGGUGUGCUGUGGAGUAGCUUACAGACGCAGCUUGGAUCUGGUGUUGCUGUGGCUGUGGUANAUGCCAGCAGCUACAGCUCCUAUCCUACCCCUCACCUGGGAACUUCCAUAUGCCAUGGGUGUGGCCAAAAAAAAGUAUUCAGUAAUGAAAUUUACUUUUCCAAAAAUUUCACUAUAUUCAUGUUUGAAAACAGAGACUUUAGCCUUUUAUUGUACGUCUGCACAUAAUGACCAUCAAGACGGAUCUUACAUCAGAGGGUCUCUGUCAAGAAGCCAGGACUGACUGGUUGUGCUUAGACAAUGAACUCUUGUGUCUGGGAUCAAAGCCCCAGCCCCACCCCCUCCUCACCUGGGACCAAGUCAAAGGUCAUAAGUUCUCCGAGCCUCCCUGGCUCCUGGGCUAUGAUAGGAACAAUUGCACUAACCCUGACCUUGGAAGCUGAUUAUGAGGAUUCAGUAAACUGGGGCCAUGCCUGGUGUGAGGUUCACUGGUUCAGAGACACUCCUUGUCGCCGAUGCAUCCACCAAGAAAGAAGAAGGUACAUAGUCAGUCUCUACCCACGAGAUCGUAAUCACCUUUGGGAGAUGAUCAUUGUUUGCAGAAAGACUCAAGGCGCAGAUUAGCAUGAACUGCAAGCGCAGUGGAUGUGAGAAGAGGAAGCACCUGCCAGGGCAGAGGCAGAAAGAGCUUCUGGUGGAGAUGGGCAGAGGUGGGCGGGGAGAGGACGACCUGGACCUGCGAGGGGACCCUGAUGCCGCCCACGGAAGCCAAACAGGAGGCACAGAGGGGGGAAAACUCAGGGCCUCCAUGGUCGUUGGCGGGAGUGGUGUGGAGGGCCUUACACCAAAGGGUUUAGCAAAGCGGAGUAAGAAGGCACCUAAGAGAGGCAGGAAUGGGAACUUCACAAAAGAGUCAGCCUUGGAACGGUCUCCAGAAGGCAACAAGGAAACAAAGCAAAAAGCUUCAAAGAACAUUUCGUUUAAUUUUGAGACAGAUAAAAAGAAAAAAAUAAUAAGGAUGAGAGGAUAGAAUCCCAAAGGCAAAAAGACCAUUAAAGAGAUAUUUCAAUGUCCUGGUUUGAGAGAGUGAACGUGGACUGAUAGGGAGUUCGGUACAAGGAUGAUAAAGACGGUGAUAAAACAUUUCCACCUUCUCUCCCUCUCCCAUGCUCAUCUUCAAACUAACGGCUAAUACUUUUCACUCUAGGGGUUAGACGAAAACACAAAAUUUGAGAAAACGUCAAUGUUAGAAAAAAAAUAGGAAAAGAAAAAAAGUCGGCUUAGAGCUCUUCCAACCACAAGAGGGCGCUCCCGGACCCAGGAGCAGAGCUGGGGGGGACUGAGCCCGGAUCAUUAACGGAACUAGCGGGAGGGCUGCCCAGAAGUCCGGUCUGAAAGGGGUUACCUGGGCAGUUACAACGUGGAGACAGCCUCUGGCCUUUACCUGUGCCCUGUGACAUCCACAUGAUCAAUCCUAAGACCCGGAAAGGCACUGAAGGCUUACAAACUUAAGUACUCCCACUCUCGGUAGCAAGUCAGUAUUCAGCCUCUCCAGUAAGUGGCGGAUGCCCCGCAGGCAAAGCAGGAAUGUCCUGAUGGAUCCCCAAGAUUGCAGCAUAGGAUGCUUUCCUCCUGGGAGCUCCACUCAGCAAGGGGAUUCCUCCCUACGGCAGCUGGUGACACAGGUCCGGCCCGACCUCCAUUGCCCGACGUGCCCAACCAACUG
This 4916-nucleotide long non-coding RNA is filed under the name Sus scrofa (pig). RNAcentral's name for it is "lncRNA (ENSSSCG00015033455.1)". The record is from RNAcentral. Lineage: Eukaryota; Metazoa; Chordata; Mammalia; Artiodactyla; Suidae.